Molecule: ribosomal RNA, 709 nt
Filed under: human gut metagenome
Description: bacterial SSU rRNA
Rfam family: Archaeal small subunit ribosomal RNA
Source: RNAcentral
AACGCUGCGGGCUUGGUGUUGGGGGUCCUUAGUGGGCGCCCAGUGCCGGAGAGAAGUUGUUAAGCCUGCUGCUUGGGGAGUAUGUCCGCAAGGAUGAAACUUAAAGGAAUUGGCGGGGGAGCACCGCAACGGGAGGAGCGUGCGGUUCAAUUGGAUUCAACGCCGAAAAACUCACCAGGAGCGACGGAUAUAUGAAGGUCAAGCCGAUGACUUUACCUGAUUUUCCGAGAGGUGGUGCAUGGCCGUCGUCAGUUCGUACCGUAAGGCGUUCUCUUAAGUGAGAUAACGAACGAGACCCUCACCAUUAAUUGCUAAUCCUUUCUCCGGAGGGGAUGCACAUUAAUGGGACCGCUGGCGCUAAGUCAGAGGAAGGAGAGGUCAACGGUAGGUCCGUAUGCCCCGAAUCUCCUGGGCAACACGCGCGCUACAAAGGACGGGACAAUGGGCUUCAACACCGAAAGGUGAAGACAAUCCUGAAACCCGUCCAUAGUUCGGAUUGGGGGCUGUAACUCGCCCCCAUGAAGCUGGAUUCCGUAGUAAUCGCUUGUCAACAUCAAGCGGUGAAUAUGCCCCUGCUCCUUGCACACACCGCCCGUCAAACCACCCGAGUUGGGUUUCAGUGAGGAUGUUUCUAAUUGGGGCUUUCGAACUGAGAUUCAGCAAGGAGGGUUAAGUCGUAACAAGGUAUCUGUAGGGGAACCUGCAGAUG